Equus caballus (horse) is the source of this 2291-nucleotide non-coding RNA. Lineage: Eukaryota; Metazoa; Chordata; Mammalia; Perissodactyla; Equidae. The record is from RefSeq and is a predicted model, not a curated record.
GAGAGGAAGGCAGAUUUAAACUGAGAGAGGUGUGGAGUUGAGGCAAGUUAUUGUACCUGGACUGAAGGCGCUUGCCCAGAGUCUCUGGCACUUAUAGGACACCUACAGACAUUGCCGGCUUGAAGAAAGCCCCUUUUCUGCUGCCAUGACACUCAUGCAAAGGAUGGAACAGACCACACCAGGGGCUGGCCCUGGUGUGUACCAGCUGGGACAGAAUGCUGAUCUAAAUGCGUAUGUGUGAAAAGGGAUGCCAGAGAAGUUCUUGAAGGGGAAACCCAAAGUCCUUGGGAAUAUGUGCUUCCUAAUUUUUGGAUCUCUCCAGUCUGAGCAUGUGCAAAGAAGAGCAACAGUUUUGGUAGGAGUAGUAUCAUAGGUUGUGCAGAUCGUGAUUGCCCUGGUGAACCUCAGCUUGGGAAUAACAAUGAUUAGAGUUGCAGUCUCAUUUCCUGAAGUUUAUUAUAUCGGUCCCGUAUCAGUGUACUCAGGGUACACAAUUUGGGGGUCGGUGAUGUUUAUUAUUUCAGGGUCCUUGUCAAUUGUAGCAGGAACUAGAACUACAAGAUGUCUGGUGAGUAAUAUUUCCUCUUUUUUGGUCCAAAGGAAGAAAGACUGACUACCUAUGUAUUCUGCCAGAAUAGAAAAUAAAUUUUAUUAGUUUUUUAAAAAUUAGAGAGAUUGUAAGUUUUACCUAGUUAGAUUUGUCUUUCAACAGUUGGAAUAAAAUAUUGUCUGAUAAUAGAAUUACUCACAUGAGAAAUAAUAGUUUGGGAAAGUAGCUGCUGAGAGAAUCUUUAUGGAAAUACAGAGAAUUUCAGAAAGAGGCAUCAAAUGGAUGGGUCAUACAAACCCUACAACUUGAGAUCCAGCCCCCUAUGACAGUGACACCAAUUGUUGGUGUGGCAUCAUAUUUACUGACUUGCAUGGAAAUAUGUAUUUCACCUCUGUGCAGAAAGGAUUUUGAUUCAGUUUGCAAAGAAAGAAAUUCACAAUAAGGCUACUAAGUCAGAAAAAGCAAUUUAAAACAAUAAAAGCCAAUAAAUGGCAAAAGCCCAGAUCUCAACAAAUGUUUUUUCUAGCUAAAACUGUAUUGAGUUUUCUUCACUCAAAGGAUAAAUAUCAAACUAUGGAGAUGAUCACUAUGGCUUUUCUAAAUCUGAUCUCUAUUUGCCUCCCUAGGAUCUUCUCCAGCUAUAAACAUUAAAAUUUACCUCGUGCUACAGCCACACUAAACCUCUCAUACUUUCUUGAGGAAUUUUAGUUCUUAUUAAAAGCCUUCAAAACUUCUCUAAGGGAGAGAAAUAGGAAAAGAAAUACACUGCAAAUGGAGAUAACAUGCAAAAGGCAUGGAGACAUGAGAGGCAACUGGAAUUUAGAAAAUAAGGAGAAGUCAGGCACCUGAAACAGUACAUGGUAGGAGAUGGACACAGAAAGGACUGUCCAGCUAAAGCGUAAAGGAUACUGAAAGCCCUGCCGAGGAAAUUGGAGCUGAUCUCAUGUGCCCAUGGGAGUCAUCUGAAGGAUUUAAGGGUGGGAAUAACAGGAUGAUAUUUGUAUUUUGGCAGGUGAUUAGAGUUGAAACUACUAUAAGGAAAGAGACAAGUUAGGAGACUAUUGCAGUAAUCAAGACAGAGAAGAUGAAAUGGGUUGGACAAGAAGUGGUGGGUGUAAAGUGAUUGAUAGGGACAUAUAUGAGGAUGAUGUUGGAUUGUUUAAUUGAUUUUCCUUCCUUUCUAGGUCCAAGGUAGCCUAGGAGUGAACAUCACCAGCUCUGUCUUUGCUGCAUCAGGGAUCAUAAUCACUGUGAUCAACAUAAUUAUUCUUUCAGGCAAUUCCCAUCUCUGUUACCGUUUUUCAGAGGUCGGAGAAUUGUUCCAUCAUUGUAAAUGUUUUAAUGAGUAUAGAUGGUGUGGUGCUCAUUUUAAGUAUGCCGGAGUUCUGCAUUGCUAUCUCCCUCUCUGUCUUUGGAUGCAAAGUAACCUGUUGUGAUCCUGGUCAGGUUGUGUUCCUGGUGCCGCCAAAUCCUCACAUGACAGAAACAGCAGCUCCUGUAACAGUUACAGGAGAUUUGAUGCCACCGAUGUAUCAAUAGGAAAAUGUUCCAGAAAAUCUAUCUUGACAGUUAUGCAAGAAUCCCACUUGGGAAAGUACCAAAUCCAACUUUGAUUUAUAUAUGUAUAUAUAUACAAAAUUCAGAGCUAUGUUCUCAUUUCCCCUAAGAAGUCAAAAUCCCAUUUUGCUGGCUCUUUAUCAACAAUAGCAGAAGUUAAAUAAAUGCAUCAUGCUUUUAAUGA